Molecule: ribosomal RNA, 950 nt
Filed under: Arthrobacter oryzae
Lineage: Bacteria; Bacillati; Actinomycetota; Actinomycetes; Micrococcales; Micrococcaceae
Description: bacterial SSU rRNA
Rfam family: Bacterial small subunit ribosomal RNA
Source: RNAcentral
UGCAAGUCGAACGAUGAAGGGAGCUUGCUCCUGGAUUAGUGGCGAACGGGUGAGUAACACGUGAGUAACCUGCCCUUAACUCUGGGAUAAGCCUGGGAAACUGGGUCUAAUACCGGAUAUGACUCCUCAUCGCAUGGUGGGGGGUGGAAAGCUUUAUUGUGGUUUUGGAUGGACUCGCGGCCUAUCAGCUUGUUGGUGAGGUAAUGGCUCACCAAGGCGACGACGGGUAGCCGGCCUGAGAGGGUGACCGGCCACACUGGGACUGAGACACGGCCCAGACUCCUACGGGAGGCAGCAGUGGGGAAUAUUGCACAAUGGGCGAAAGCCUGAUGCAGCGACGCCGCGUGAGGGAUGACGGCCUUCGGGUUGUAAACCUCUUUCAGUAGGGAAGAAGCGAAAGUGACGGUACCUGCAGAAGAAGCGCCGGCUAACUACGUGCCAGCAGCCGCGGUAAUACGUAGGGCGCAAGCGUUAUCCGGAAUUAUUGGGCGUAAAGAGCUCGUAGGCGGUUUGUCGCGUCUGCUGUGAAAGACCGGGGCUCAACUCCGGUUCUGCAGUGGGUACGGGCAGACUAGAGUGAUGUAGGGGAGACUGGAAUUCCUGGUGUAGCGGUGAAAUGCGCAGAUAUCAGGAGGAACACCGAUGGCGAAGGCAGGUCUCUGGGCAUUAACUGACGCUGAGGAGCGAAAGCAUGGGGAGCGAACAGGAUUAGAUACCCUGGUAGUCCAUGCCGUAAACGUUGGGCACUAGGUGUGGGGGACAUUCCACGUUUUCCGCGCCGUAGCUAACGCAUUAAGUGCCCCGCCUGGGGAGUACGGCCGCAAGGCUAAAACUCAAAGGAAUUGACGGGGGCCCGCACAAGCGGCGGAGCAUGCGGAUUAAUUCGAUGCAACGCGAAGAACCUUACCAAGGCUUGACAUGGACCGGACCGGGCUGGAAACAGUCCUUCC